RNAcentral lists this ribosomal RNA (620 nucleotides) under uncultured bacterium. RNAcentral describes it as "bacterial SSU rRNA". It matches the Rfam family "Bacterial small subunit ribosomal RNA", at positions 428 to 1054 of the family's 1533-position model. The record is from RNAcentral.
AACCUCUUUCAGUACCGACGAAGCGCCAAUAACGGUGGUGACGGUAGGUACAGAAGAAGGACCGGCCAACUACGUGCCAGCAGCCGCGGUAAUACGUAGGGUCCGAGCGUUGUCCGGAAUUAUUGGGCGUAAAGGGCUCGUAGGCGGUCUGUUGCGUCGGGAGUGAAAACUUACAGCUUAACUGUGAGCGUGCUUCCGAUACGGGCAGACUUGAGGCAUUCAGGGGAGAACGGAAUUCCUGGUGUAGCGGUGAAAUGCGCAGAUAUCAGGAGGAACACCGGUGGCGAAGGCGGUUCUCUGGGAAUGUCCUGACGCUGAGGAGCGAAAGUGUGGGGAGCGAACAGGAUUAGAUACCCUGGUAGUCCACACCGUAAACGUUGGGCGCUAGGUGUGGGAUCCAUUCCACGGGUUCCGUGCCGCAGCUAACGCAUUAAGCGCCCCGCCUGGGGAGUACGGCCGCAAGGCUAAAACUCAAAGGAAUUGACGGGGGCCCGCACAAGCGGCGGAGCAUGCGGAUUAAUUCGAUGCAACGCGAAGAACCUUACCUGGGUUUGACAUAUGCCGGAAAGCUCCAGAGAUGGAGCCCCUUUUGUCGGUAUACAGGUGGUGCAUGGCUGUCG